CAAUAGCGUAUAUUAAAGUUGUUGCAGUUAAAAAGCUCGUAGUUGGAUUUCUGGUGGGAGCACGGGUCGGCCCUCACGGGUUGUACUGUUGUUGCGUCCCGCCGUUUCGGAGGGAAUGGUCUCGCUAUUAGGUUAGUGGGGUCGGGAACUCUGUCGUCUACUGUGAAAAAAUUAGAGUGUUCAAAGCAGGCCUUCGCUGUGAAUACAUUAGCAUGGAAUAAUAAGAUAGGACUAUGGUGCUAUUUUGUUGGUUUGCGUACUAUGGUAAUGAUUAAUAGGGAUAGUUGGGGGUAUUCAUAUUCAAUUGUCAGAGGUGAAAUUCUUGGAUUUAUGGAAGAUGAACUACUGCGAAAGCAUUUACCAAGGAUGUUUUCAUUAA
RNAcentral lists this ribosomal RNA (379 nucleotides) under uncultured eukaryote. RNAcentral describes it as "partial 18S ribosomal RNA". It matches the Rfam family "Eukaryotic small subunit ribosomal RNA", at positions 592 to 976 of the family's 1831-position model. The record is from RNAcentral.